RNAcentral lists this ribosomal RNA (227 nucleotides) under uncultured bacterium. Its description in RNAcentral is "partial 16S ribosomal RNA". It matches the Rfam family "Bacterial small subunit ribosomal RNA", at positions 18 to 236 of the family's 1533-position model. The record is from RNAcentral.
GCAUGGUCAGGAUGAACGCUAGCUACAGGCUUAACACAUGCAAGUCGAGGGGCAGCAUGUUGGUUGCUUGCAACCAAUGAUGGCGACCGGCGCACGGGUGAGUAACGCGUAUCCAACCUACCCUUGUCCAUCGGAUAACCCGUCGAAAGGCGGCCUAACACGAUAUGCGGUUCACAGCAGGCAUCUAACGUGAACGAAAUAGUGAAGGAGAAGGAUGGGGAGUGCGU